Molecule: non-coding RNA, 140 nt
Organism: Hydra vulgaris (swiftwater hydra)
Lineage: Eukaryota; Metazoa; Cnidaria; Hydrozoa; Anthoathecata; Hydridae
Source: RefSeq, a predicted model, not a curated record
AGAAUUUAUUAAUGAACGAGGUUUAUACAAAUAAAAACUAAAUUCUCUACAGAGUAUUUUCGAAAAGUUAUAUGUCCUCCAUGGAUAUGAAAGGCAAAGGUGGAAAAAUAUGUUUUAAGAACACUAAUCUAUAUGGCGUU